UGCCAGCCCCGCCAGUAGCAAGCCUGCUGCAAGCAGACCGCCAGCCGACUGCUGCAGGCACAUCGCUUGCGCAUGCGCCGGCGCUAUGCUGCCUGGCUGCGGCUGCGGCUGCCGCUGCAGGUGGCUGCAGGCAUGCAGAUCGAGGGCAGCAACUGUUGCUGCCCUUCCUCGCUUUUGCGUCAACGAUUUUGACGUCAAAAUUCUUCCUAAACACAAUACACGCAGUUCAAAACCAAUCAUUCGCACGAACAACCUGGCUCUGAUACCACUGUUGGGAAAUCAUUGGGGGCGACAUCAUAUGCAUUGGACCUGUUUGUCCUCAGUUACCAUGUACCUAUAGUCCCUCAUCCAUCUAAUAUCCUAGAGACCGUAUAUCGAGCAUGGUGUUGUCAGACCCAUACGGUUUCUACUCGAGUCUCGCUCUAAUCGGAUUCCCCCGGAGAACUCUUUCUCUCUCAACCCGAAUGACCCUGGCCAGGGAUUUGUCUGAGCAAGAACACAUGGGAUAUUCCUCUCAUGACGCCGAGAGUGGAUGAUCCUCUAUCGACACUCAAUAGCCCUCGUAAGGUCAACUACCACUCCCAAUGACUAGUUGUACUAGAUCUGGGGACAGCCAAACCUAUAAGUCUGGUAUCAAAGAGUGG
Molecule: long non-coding RNA, 644 nt
Filed under: Musa acuminata (dwarf banana)
Lineage: Eukaryota; Viridiplantae; Streptophyta; Magnoliopsida; Zingiberales; Musaceae
Description: long non-coding RNA (MACU_LNC011071)
Source: RNAcentral